UGGUCUUUUGAGGCAAAGUUCUGAGACACUCCGACUCUGAAUAUGAUAGAAGUCAGUGCACUACAGAACUUUGUCUCU
RNAcentral lists this microRNA precursor (78 nucleotides) under Canis lupus familiaris (dog). RNAcentral's name for it is "miRNA (multiple genes)". The stretch from base 8 to 77 matches the Rfam family "mir-148/mir-152 microRNA precursor family". From Rfam's summary of the family: The hairpin precursors (represented here) are predicted based on base pairing and cross-species conservation -- their extents are not known. In this case the mature sequence is excised from the 3' arm of the hairpin. Lineage: Eukaryota; Metazoa; Chordata; Mammalia; Carnivora; Canidae. The record is from RNAcentral. RNAcentral also lists the same sequence under 2 other names.